GACGAACGCUGGCGGCGUGCUUAAUACAUGCAAGUCGAACGAAAAGGCCCUGCUCUUGUGGGGUGCUCGAGUGGCGAGCGGGUGAGUAACACGUGUGUAACCUGCACUUGACUUUGUGAUAACUCCAGGAAAAUGGGGCUCUUACCGGAUAUGAGCUCCUGCUGCAUGGUGGUGGAUGGAAAGAUUCGGCGGUAGGGGAUGGACUCGAAGCUUAUCAGCUUGAUGGUGGAGUAGUGGCUUACCAAGGCUGUGACGGGUAGCCGGCCUGAGAGGGUGGCCGGCGACAUGGGGACUCAGAGACGGCGCAGACGGCUACGGGAGGCAGCAGGGGGGAAUAUGGCAGAAUGGGCGGAAGCCUGAGACAGCAACGCCGCGUGCGUGAUGACGGCCUUCGAGUGGUAAACAGAUGUCGACUGUGACGAAGCGGGAGUGACGGUAAUGGGUAAAGAAGCACCGGCUAACUACGUG
RNAcentral lists this ribosomal RNA (468 nucleotides) under uncultured bacterium. RNAcentral's name for it is "partial 16S ribosomal RNA". It matches the Rfam family "Bacterial small subunit ribosomal RNA", at positions 28 to 507 of the family's 1533-position model. The record is from RNAcentral.